This 253-nucleotide ribosomal RNA is filed under the name uncultured bacterium. RNAcentral describes it as "partial 16S ribosomal RNA". It matches the Rfam family "Bacterial small subunit ribosomal RNA", at positions 524 to 776 of the family's 1533-position model. The record is from RNAcentral.
UACGUAGGGGGCAAGCGUUGUCCGGAUUUAUUGGGCGUAAAGAGCGUGUAGGCGGUUUGGUAGGUCCGCUGUGAAAACUCGAGGCUCAACCUCGAGACGCCGGUGGAAACCAUUAGGCUAGAGUCCGGAAGAGGAGAGUGGAAUUCCUGGUGUAGCGGUGGAAUGCGCAGAUAUCAGGAGGAACACCAAUAGCGAAGGCAGCUCGCUGGGACGGUACUGACGCUAAGGCGCGAAAGCGUGGGGAGCGAACAGG